This is a long non-coding RNA of Hipposideros armiger (great roundleaf bat), 358 nucleotides long. RefSeq lists it as uncharacterized. Lineage: Eukaryota; Metazoa; Chordata; Mammalia; Chiroptera; Hipposideridae. The transcript has 3 exons. The record is from RefSeq and is a predicted model, not a curated record.
CCCCCCCGGGCAGCGGUCUCUUCUGCAGCCCCACCACUCCGCGGGCUGAGAAGAAAAGCUGCGUCCCUGAGGGCAGAGGCAGCUUCUUUUAUCUGCAGUUGGGUUUCUUUGGAAUAAUUCAGAUACCUCUAACUUAAAUGCAGUCAUCCUGGAGCCCACCCAACAAGGUGGAGGCAUCUUGCAAGAGGUUUCUCACCUAGAAUCACAGAAUAUCCCGGCAAGAAGGUACCUUGGGGCACCAACAAAUCCAGAUGAUUGAGAACCUUGAGGGAACUAAUUUACCGUAUUCCCCCAUGUAUAAGACGCACCCUUUUUCGAAAAAUUUGGGGUCUAAAACCUGGGUGCAUCUUAUACAGUG